This 465-nucleotide ribosomal RNA is filed under the name Granulicatella adiacens. RNAcentral's name for it is "bacterial SSU rRNA". It matches the Rfam family "Bacterial small subunit ribosomal RNA", at positions 28 to 474 of the family's 1533-position model. The record is from RNAcentral. Lineage: Bacteria; Bacillati; Bacillota; Bacilli; Lactobacillales; Carnobacteriaceae.
GACGAACGCUGGCGGCGUGCCCAAUACAUGCAAGUCGAACGAGAGCGACCGGUGCUUGCACUGGUCAAUCUAGUGGCGAACGGGUGAGUAACACGUGGGUAACCUGCCCAUCAGAGGGGGAUAACAUUCGGAAACGGAUGCUAAAACCGCAUAGGUCUUCGAGCCGCAUGGCUUGAAGAGGAAAAGAGGCGCAAGCUUCUGCUGAUGGAUGGACCCGCGGUGCAUUAGCUAGUUGGUGAGGUAACGGCUCACCAAGGCAGUGAUGCAUAGCCGACCUGAGAGGGUGAUCGGCCACAUUGGGACUGAGACACGGCCCAAACUCCUACGGGAGGCAGCAGUAGGGAAUCUUCCGCAAUGGACGCAAGUCUGACGGAGCAACGCCGCGUGAGUGAAGAAGGUUUUCGGAUCGUAAAACUCUGUUGUUAGAGAAGAACAAGUGCUAGAGUAACUGUUAGCGCCUUGACG